AAUUUAAAGUAAUCGAAUGUUUUCGUCUAGAGUUUCCGAUUUUUUGGCUUGAAGUAAAAUUUUGAACCAUCUAUGAGACAAC
Small nuclear RNA from Brugia malayi, 82 nucleotides. The record is from RefSeq and is a predicted model, not a curated record. NCBI's taxonomy places the organism in Eukaryota, Metazoa, Nematoda, Chromadorea, Rhabditida, Onchocercidae.